AAAUGACAUGCAUGCAUGCAUGCAUGCAAUUAUUAGACCAACUAGGGGCAUAUUUGUAAAGCCAAUUUAUUUCUAUAUAAACGAAACCUGUGUUUUAUUUAUCAAUCUCACUUCCCUCUCUCUGUAUCUUUCACAAGUUUUAGCUAGCUAGCUAGUAAAGUAAUUAAGUUAAGAUCAUCAGUAUGGCAACAAAUGUGAGUAGUUCUUUGAUGAACCACGUCGGCGGCCGUUGCCGGAGUUUUUCAAAGAGUUACGACGUUGAAGGCAGACGUCGGCCGAUACCGAGGAGGGGGCAAGUAAAGGUGGGAAUUGUCUUAGGCAUUGCUCAAUCUUUGGCUUCUGUUUUUUCUCCUACUGCCCGUACCAAAUCUGCGGCUUUUGCACCACCAUUUUGAUUAUUUAUUUUUAGUUUUUGCAAUUUUUAAUUAAUUUUUUUUGUGUUGUAGAAAAUAGAUUAAGAUGUGAAUUUAUGAUUGGUUAAGUAAGCCCUAGCUAUGAUUGUUUAUUUGUAUCUAAGAGGCUGAUCUACUAAGUUAAGACUACGUUGUUCUUGUAUAUUUUGUUGAAUCCUAGCUUUUCGGGAGUGGUUAACAUGAAGUUUAUUUUUGGAUAAAUUGGUCAAUUGGCCAAUAGAGUGCUGACACGCAGGCGAGAUUGUGUGUGUCAAUAUUCUAUUGGUCAAUUGACCAACUUAAUAAAAAAUAAACUUCAUGCUAACCGGAUAUCUAGCUUCCCCUUUCCUUUUGGCCUUUUAUUUACUUGCUUGAUUGUCUGAAUAUGUAUAUAAUAUAUGACAUGUUCAUCUCCAAUUUAGUAAUUAUUUUCAGGGAUAAUAUAUCUACUCCUAAGUAAGUACAUUCUUAGAUUUUAAAUUUUUUACAAUAUUCUUAGUUUAAUAUCACAAAACAGAGC
This 912-nucleotide long non-coding RNA is filed under the name Panax ginseng (ginseng). Its description in RNAcentral is "long non-coding RNA (PGIN_LNC010348)". The stretch from base 593 to 712 matches the Rfam family "MIR6135 microRNA precursor family". The record is from RNAcentral. Lineage: Eukaryota; Viridiplantae; Streptophyta; Magnoliopsida; Apiales; Araliaceae.